Non-coding RNA from Triticum aestivum (bread wheat), 115 nucleotides. The record is from Rfam. NCBI's taxonomy places the organism in Eukaryota, Viridiplantae, Streptophyta, Magnoliopsida, Poales, Poaceae.
CAUGUACUCCCUCCGUUCAGAAUUACUUGUCGCAGAAAUGGAUGUAUCUAGAUGUAUUUUAGUUCUAAAUAUAUCUAUUUCCGAGACAAGUAAUUCCGAACGGAGGGAGUACUCA